GGAUGCCAUCAUACCAGCACUAAAGCACCGGAUCCCAUCAGAACUCCGAAGUUAAACGUGCUUGGGCGAGAGUAGUACUAGGAUGGGUGACCUCCUGGGAAGUCCUCGUGUUGCAUUCC
This 119-nucleotide ribosomal RNA is filed under the name Triticum aestivum (bread wheat). Lineage: Eukaryota; Viridiplantae; Streptophyta; Magnoliopsida; Poales; Poaceae. The record is from RNAcentral.